Molecule: ribosomal RNA, 455 nt
Filed under: Sicarius diadorim
Lineage: Eukaryota; Metazoa; Arthropoda; Arachnida; Araneae; Sicariidae
Description: partial 16S ribosomal RNA
Rfam family: Bacterial large subunit ribosomal RNA
Source: RNAcentral
GUAGCAUAAUAACUUGCCUUUUAAUUGAAGGAUAGAAUGAAAGGUGCCACGACUUACCAACUUUCUAGAAUUUACCACAAUGAACUUUAUCCAAAAGUAAAAAAUCUUUUACCUCUCAGAAGGACAACAAGACCCCAACGAACUUAACACUAUUUAGCUGGGGCAGCUAAAAAACAAAAACUUCUUAUUAAUCCUUACCCCGACCCAAUAAUAUUGAUCGAAGGCCUAAGUUACCGUGGGGAUAACAGCAUAAUCGGACCUCAGAGAUCUUAUCAAACGUCCGCCAUUGGACCUCGAUGUUGAAUUAAUAAAGCUACAUUAAGCAAAAGGAAUGCAAGCAGGUCUGUUCGACCUUUAAUAAAUUAUAUGAUUUGAGUUCAGACCGGCGCAAGCCAGGUCAGUUUAUAUCCUCUUACAGCCAGUGUUAGUACGAAAGGACCCCACAAAAGUUAAAA